GAUUCUGGCUCAGAACGAACGCUGGCGGCGUGCUUAACACAUGCAAGUCGAACGCGAAAGGGACUUCGGUCCUGAGUAAAGUGGCGCACGGGUGAGUAACGCGUGGGUAACCUGCCUCAUACAGGGGGAUAACAGUUAGAAAUGACUGCUAACACCGCAUGAUAUAGCGAAACCGCAUGAUUUUUGCUAUCAAAUAUUUAUAGGUAUGAGAUGGGCCCGCGUCUGAUUAGCUAGUUGGUGGGGUAAAAGCCUACCAAGGCGACGAUCAGUAGCCGGCUUGAGAGAGUGACCGGCCACAUUGGGACUGAGACACGGCCCAAACUCCUACGGGAGGCAGCAGUGGGGAAUAUUGGACAAUGGGGGAAACCCUGAUCCAGCCGACGCCGCGUGAGUGAAGAAGUAUUUCGGUAUGUAAAGCUCUAUCAGCAGGGAAGAUAAUGACAGUACCUGACUAAGAAGCCCCGGCUAACUACGUGCCAGCCGCCGC
Molecule: ribosomal RNA, 487 nt
Filed under: uncultured bacterium
Lineage: Bacteria
Description: bacterial SSU rRNA
Rfam family: Bacterial small subunit ribosomal RNA
Source: RNAcentral